UUUUCCACCGCUGCUUUCGAGUCCUUUAAAUCCUAGAGGCAAACUUUUGGGGGAUAAGGAAGGCUUGGGAGGGGCCUGCGCCUUAACCCUCUCUGCCCCAGACGGACUGAGCUGGCCUGGUCGGUGACUCCGCGGCCCGUUUGGGUUCCUACCAUGGCCCCCGAGAGGGGCUGACACUUCGGUCCCCGGUGCAGGUGAGAACAGCCGGGAGGAAGAAGGAAGAAGGCCUCGGAGGCGGAGGUGGGCUCCAAACCAAGGAGGGGGGGGGGUCCCCCAGUCUAAGCCUGAGAGCGCGCCUGCCCCACUCAGCGAGGACCAAGAGAUGCCGGUUCUGAAGCAGCUGGGCCCCGCGCAGCCCAAGAAGCGGCCGGAGCGCGGCGCCCUGUCCAUCUCCGCGCCGCUCGGCGACUUCCGGCACACGCUGCACGUGGGGCGCGGCGGCGACGCCUUCGGGGACACUUCGUUCCUGAG
This is an RNA transcript of Neomonachus schauinslandi (Hawaiian monk seal), 471 nucleotides long. RefSeq lists it as uncharacterized. Lineage: Eukaryota; Metazoa; Chordata; Mammalia; Carnivora; Phocidae. The transcript is spliced from 3 exons. The record is from RefSeq and is a predicted model, not a curated record.